AGCAGCCGCGGUAACUCCAGCUCCAAUAGCGUAUAUUAAAGUUGUUGCAGUUAAAAAGCUCGUAGUCGAAUUUCGGGAUUGACACAUCGGUCGUGCCUUAAGGGGUAUGAACUGGUGUAGUCAAUUUCUCACCUUCUGGAGAACCGCGAUGCCCUUAAUUGGGUGUCGCGGGGAACCAGGACCUUUACUUUGAAAAAAUUAGAGUGUUUAAAGCAGGCAUUUUGCUUGAAUACAUUAGCAUGGAAUAAUAAAAUAGGACGGCAUGAUUCUAUUUUGUUGGUUUCUAGGAUCACCGUAAUGAUUAAUAGGGAUAGUUGGGGGCAUUAGUAUUCAAUUGUCAGAGGUGAAAUUCUUGGAUUUAUUGAAGACUAACUACUGCGAAAGCAUUUGCCAAGGAUGUUUUCAUUAAUCAAGAACGAAAGUUAGGGGAUCGAAGACGAUCAGAUACCG
This 450-nucleotide ribosomal RNA is filed under the name uncultured Glomeromycotina. Its description in RNAcentral is "SSU rRNA". It matches the Rfam family "Eukaryotic small subunit ribosomal RNA", at positions 569 to 1017 of the family's 1831-position model. Lineage: Eukaryota; Fungi; Glomeromycota. The record is from RNAcentral.